Molecule: non-coding RNA, 919 nt
Organism: Taeniopygia guttata (zebra finch)
Lineage: Eukaryota; Metazoa; Chordata; Aves; Passeriformes; Estrildidae
Source: RefSeq, a predicted model, not a curated record
UAGUCUGGCUUCCAGCAGAGGCAGAAGUGAAUAACAAGCCAAUCAACGUGCUAAAUAUUGAACAGAGCAGCUCAGCACACAGCAUCAGCCAAACGGGAGAUUAGCAUGUGGCUGCGGACAGGACGAACUCAGGAUAUGUUGGGCAUGACUAAGAACAGAGGCCCAGCCAUAAACCCCAUAGCUGGGAGUUUCACCAAAGGUAAGGGAACUUUUUAGGUUUUGUUUCUUCUGUUUGAAAAAAAACUGUAUUGCUUUGUGCUAUGAUGAUUGCACAAGUUUUGUUAUUUUUUUGUGAUUCUUGGUCAGAAAACUUGCUGGAGCCAGAGGUUUGCCCAUGACAAUCUCUGGGCUCCUGCAGAGAUUAUGGAGGGUGGAAAGUAAAGGGUGGAAAGGAUUAUGGAGGAUGGAAAGUAAAACAGAAAUGGAAGAGCCUUCUUUCCUCAAAUAUUACAGGGGAAGUUUGCAACCACAGCAAGUUGUAAAGCCUGGAAGUUGAGGAAAGUAGAGCAGAUUUAUCUAAAAGCAACGCUGGCUUUACACAAAUGCUUGUGACCAGAGAAUUCAGAUUCUUUUGGCUGAAAAUGUGCCUGCAGUCUGAGCUGUACACAGAACGCAGCUCUGGAUUUGGCAGAUUGAGCAAAAGAAGACUUUAGCAGAAUCUCUAGGUACUUGAAGAAACUAGGUCAAGAACAGCAAGGUAGAUAGUUGCUGAAUAAAAUAUUUUUUAGAUUCUGAUUUUAAUUAAAAUAAAGCAUAACUACUCCAUUGUGGCACCACUACAGUUUACAAUUCUUUCUUAAUUUAUUUAAUGAAUCAAAGCAGAUAAAUCAGUGCUUGCAAAUAGUGCUUGCAAAGUCUCCUAGAUUAAGAGACAAAACUCAGAUAACCUUCACCAAAUACAUUAAUAAAACCAGAAUUA